This is a long non-coding RNA of Antechinus flavipes (yellow-footed antechinus), 368 nucleotides long. RefSeq lists it as uncharacterized. The record is from RefSeq and is a predicted model, not a curated record. The transcript has 2 exons. NCBI's taxonomy places the organism in Eukaryota, Metazoa, Chordata, Mammalia, Dasyuromorphia, Dasyuridae.
GAGGAGGAGGAGGUAGAGGAGGAGAAGGAGGAAGAGGACGACAUGGGGCUCCUGGCUCUAGUCAGGAUUGCAGGAUUGAGGAUCAGUCUGCACUGAUCUGACAGAACCACUGCAGGUGAGUGGGAGAGCCUCUCACCCUCCCCACCACCCCCGGUCCCGGCGUGAGCAAAGGAGGAAGAAGAGGAAGAUCUCCCCGCACCCGAGCCCCCGCCUCCCGGUCUGUUUGCCUGGGACCUCUCAGCAGCUGGGAGACUAAUCAAACUCCUUUGGCUGGGUUUGAUGGGACUUUUGUUGCUGUCAUCAUUGGAAUGUAGAUGUUUGAAACAAAGGUGUAGAAAUAAACGAAUUGUUUGUGAUUUAGCUAUGGA